ACUUUCUUAAUAUGCACUGUCACUUGAGGU
This 30-nucleotide non-coding RNA is filed under the name Cricetulus griseus (Chinese hamster). The record is from RNAcentral. Lineage: Eukaryota; Metazoa; Chordata; Mammalia; Rodentia; Cricetidae.